AUUCCAGCUCCAAUAGCGUAUAUUAAAGUUGUUGUGGUUAAAAAGCUCGUAGUUGGAUCUCGGCGGUCUGAGGGCGGUUCGCUUCAGAGCGCUACUGCCCUAUAGACCGUAGUUUUGCCAGAGGUCUCAGGGUGCUCUUAACCGAGUGUCUUGCGAUGCUGGCAGGUUUACUUUGAAAAAAUUAGAGUGCUCAAAGCAGGCUUUUACGCCUGAAUAUUCGUGCAUGGAAUAAUAGAAUAGGAAGUCGUUUCUAUUUUGUUGGUUUUCGGAAAUCCACUUAAUGAUUAAUAGGGACAGUUGGGGGUAUCCGUAUUUCGUAGUCAGAGGUGAAAUUCUUGGAUUUACGAAAGACGAACUACUGCGAAAGCAUUUACCAAGGAUGUUUUCAUCG
Molecule: ribosomal RNA, 391 nt
Filed under: Pseudocalanus sp.
Lineage: Eukaryota; Metazoa; Arthropoda; Copepoda; Calanoida; Clausocalanidae
Description: partial small subunit ribosomal RNA
Rfam family: Eukaryotic small subunit ribosomal RNA
Source: RNAcentral